GACAGAGGAUGCAAGCGUUAUCCGGAAUGAUUGGGCGUAAAGCGUCUGUAGGUGGCUUUUCAAGUCCGCCGUCAAAUCCCAGGGCUCAACCCUGGACAGGCGGUGGAAACUACCAAGCUGGAGUACGGUAGGGGUAGAGGGAAUUUUUCCGGUGGAGCGGUGAAAUGCAUUGAGAUCGGAAAGAACACCAACGGCGAAAGCACUCUGCUGGGCCGACACUGACACUGAGAGACGAAAGCUAGGGGGAGCAAAUGGG
Molecule: ribosomal RNA, 256 nt
Filed under: uncultured bacterium
Lineage: Bacteria
Description: partial 16S ribosomal RNA
Rfam family: Bacterial small subunit ribosomal RNA
Source: RNAcentral